CAGCACCUCAAGUGGUCAGGAUGAUUAUUGGGCCUAAAGCAUCCGUAGCCGGCGCUGUAAGUUUUCGGUUAAAUCUGUACGCUCAACGUACAGGCUGCCGGGAAUACUGCAGCGCUAGGGAGUGGGAGAGGUAGACGGUACUCGGUAGGAAGGGGUAAAAUCCUUUGAUCUAUUGAUGACCACCUGUGGCGAAGGCGGUCUACCAGAACACGUCCGACGGUGAGGGAUGAAAGCUGGGGGAGCAAAACGGAUUAGAUACCCGCGUAGUCC
RNAcentral lists this ribosomal RNA (270 nucleotides) under uncultured archaeon. Its description in RNAcentral is "partial 16S ribosomal RNA". It matches the Rfam family "Archaeal small subunit ribosomal RNA", at positions 477 to 747 of the family's 1478-position model. The record is from RNAcentral.